Molecule: ribosomal RNA, 197 nt
Filed under: uncultured bacterium
Lineage: Bacteria
Description: partial 16S ribosomal RNA
Rfam family: Bacterial small subunit ribosomal RNA
Source: RNAcentral
ACGCUCGACACCUACGGAGGCAGCAGUGGGGAAUAUUGCACAAUGGGGGAAACCCUGAUGCAGCGACGCCGCGUGAAGGAAGAAGUAUCUCGGUAUGUAAACUUCUAUCAGCAGGGAAGAAAGUGACGGUACCUGACUAAGAAGCCCCGGCUAACUACGUGCCAGCAGCCGAGGUAAUCUGAGCGGGCUGGCAAGGC